Long non-coding RNA from Cucurbita maxima (winter squash), 767 nucleotides. RefSeq lists it as uncharacterized. The transcript has 2 exons. The record is from RefSeq and is a predicted model, not a curated record. NCBI's taxonomy places the organism in Eukaryota, Viridiplantae, Streptophyta, Magnoliopsida, Cucurbitales, Cucurbitaceae.
AUCUCAUUAAGAACAAAGAAAAAUGUGCAUAUGUGAGCGUGGCUUCGUCCAAUUCUUCAACAACUUCAUAUAUUUCCCCCCUUCUUCUUCACCCUUUUCCCACCUUCAAAUGAAAUUCAACCCCUCAAAUCCAAGCAUUUCAAAGUUGUACUUGAACUUCAUGAACAAAUGAAAAACUCCCCAUGAAACAAAAUCCCCCUCCCCUUUUUCUCACGAUGUCGCCUUAUGGGGUUCUAUUUUCUCUCAUUUUCCUGCUCUUUCUCGCCCACGACGCCUUUGAAGCGACCUCAAUCCACGUUAAUGACUCCGACCAAGAACCGAUGAUGGUUCCAUUGAUGGAGAAGAUGGAAACGACGGCGAUGGUGAUAAACGGCGGCCGACGGCAGCUUAGGAGCUUCCAGAUUUGUGCUCUCUGCACCUGCUGCGGCGGUGCCAGAGGAAUGUGCGUUCCAUCACCCUGUUGCUAUGCUAUAAACUGUAACAUCCCUAAUAGGCCAUUUGGGUUUUGCUCUUUUACUCCAAGGACCUGUAACUGCUUUGGCUGCCAUAUUUAAUAAGCUUUCUUGUUAUGAUAUUGACAAUGGUUCAUUGUUGGAUCUCUGAAACUGUGGAAUACAAGUUCUAAAUUGUUCAUUGUUCAUGGAAUUGUGUCUUGAUUUGGUGUCUGUAGGAGAUAUCAUAGCAUGGUGCCAUAGUUGAGCUUUUGAGGACAGAAUGUACCAAGAUUUGGCUUGUUGGGCACUGUUGAUAGCUCUAUUAUGAUGAUC